UCCUGCUGAUCCUGUUUACCUACUACCCGAUUGUCUCGGCGCUGUCUCACUCCUUUACCGAGUGGAAGGGCAGCGGCAAUGCCGCCUGGAUCGGCAUGGACAACUUCCGGGAGAUGUUACGCGACGAUAUCCUGCUGGAUUCGGUCGGAAACAUGACCAAACUGCUUCUGGCGGGAAUCGUCAUCUCGCUCACCGUGCCGCUGGCCGUUGCGGAGCUGAUCUUUGCGCUGCGCAGUGAGCGCGCCCAGUAUCUCUACCGGGUGCUGUUUGUGAUCCCGAUGGUCGUG
RNAcentral lists this unclassified non-coding RNA (287 nucleotides) under uncultured bacterium. RNAcentral describes it as "contains 16S-23S intergenic spacer region". The record is from RNAcentral.